This 507-nucleotide ribosomal RNA is filed under the name uncultured bacterium. Its description in RNAcentral is "bacterial SSU rRNA". It matches the Rfam family "Bacterial small subunit ribosomal RNA", at positions 28 to 517 of the family's 1533-position model. The record is from RNAcentral.
GAUGAACGCUAGCUACAGGCUUAACACAUGCAAGUCGAGGGGAAACGACAUCGAAAGCUUGCUUUUGGUGGGCGUCGACCGGCGCACGGGUGAGUAACGCGUAUCCAACCUGCCCACCACUUGGGGAUAACCUUGCGAAAGUAAGACUAAUACCCGAUGAUAUCUCUAGACGACAUCUGAAAGGGAUUAAAGAUUUAUCGGUGAUGGAUGGGGAUGCGUCUGAUUAGCUUGUUGGCGGGGUAACGGCCCACCAAGGCAACGAUCAGUAGGGGUUCUGAGAGGAAGGUCCCCCCANAUUGGAACUGAGACACGGUCCAAAACUCCUACGGGAGGCAGCAGUGAGGAAUAUUGGUCAAAUGGGGCGAGAGCCUGGAACCAGCCAAGUAGCGUGCAGGACGACGGCCCUAUGGGUUGUAAACUGCUUUUAUAGGGGGAUAAAGUGUGCCACGUGUGGCAUAUUGCAGGUACCCUAUGAAUAAGGACCGGCUAAUUCCGUGCCAGCAGCCG